GAAGGGGGUUUCAAAAGCACGGUGUGGAGGAAGACUCUUCCAGAGUUGGCACCCAGCGCGGCCUGCCUGGCGCCAGACUCCCCGGGGUCUGAGUGAUGAGUUAUCAGAGAGCUUUCCUGUCUGAAGCCUUUCCCUGUCUCAAGUGAGCGAUUAAGACCCAGAGCUGCGUUCUGCUCUCUAGGAUAACCAAAAGAACAAUAGAACUAUCGUUUGGCUGUCAUAGAUUCAAAGCAAAGGUAUAAAAAUAACCACUGAGACUCAGUAAAAUUCAUAGCAAAAUAAUCAACAUUAGGCGUCAACUGGCAGAUUUCUCCCACUGUGAUUAUAAUGUCAAAGACAGCUGAGCUGGGAUUUUAUACAUUACUGUUAGAAGUUCCACCUAACAAAAAUCCAUACCAGAUUCUAUGUAACCUAAAAUAAGGAAGAGACUUGCAUUUGAAUGGUCUUUCCCACAUAUAAGCUAAAAAGGACUUCGUUUAGUGCGAUCGUCCAAUGGGUGAAGAUAUCUUCUGUGUUAUGGCCUUCGAAUGAGAAGAUCCCAAGAAUCCAUUCCCCUGCUGGUGACAAUCUCCCCUCUUCCUCCCGUCAAAUGUGAAAAGGAGUAAAGAUCCACGGUAGACAGACAGGAGCCCAGCGAAGAAGCGGCAGUGUCCACACGUCACGUUUCACAUGUUCCUAGACGCCUGCCAGAAACUGGCAAUGAAUUUCACGUGCAGUGAGGAGUGACUGAAUUUCAGGAAAAUCUGUAAAUUUGUCCUUAUGUUUUCACUGAGCUUCUCUCAACUGCAGUUUUGAACUUUCUAAUCACUUGAUAAAGCAUUUUAAAAUACCAAAAGUGGUGAAUAGAGUAUGGAAGCGUCUGUAUUGCAGCAUCUGCCAACCACUCACAGAUUUAUUUUGACCAAAAUCGUUGUGGAGAUAAAGCCAACAGAAUGGAAUUAGUCUAAGGGUUAAAUUUGCACCAUGGUAGAGAAGACACCACAGUGUGCGUCAAAUCCAACUGCCCAGGUGGUUUCCUGUUAGAUCUGUGAAGCCCAGGAGACGGAGGGACCCUGCCUGCAGGAACACCCUCGCCAGGCGCCCCUGAAACCAACACAUCAAGCCUUGCAUUUCUCAGGCUUUGCCUUCUUUCUCCUUUUCUGUCCUCUGAGUGACCUACAAGGGCUGUCGCUGUUAAGUAUUCCCGUGAAAGAAAAUGCUCCCUAAGGUUUGAAAUCAACACAGAAAGCAAUCCACUAUUGGGGUAUUUAUAUAUAUAAGCUGUGGAAUUAAAAUUAGC
Molecule: long non-coding RNA, 1279 nt
Filed under: Equus caballus (horse)
Lineage: Eukaryota; Metazoa; Chordata; Mammalia; Perissodactyla; Equidae
Description: lncRNA (ENSECAG00000051353.1)
Source: RNAcentral